GCUGACGAGUGGCGGACGGGUGAGUAAUGUCUGGGAAACUGCCUGAUGGAGGGGGAUAACUACUGGAAACGGUGGCUAAUACCGCAUAACGUCGCAAGACCAAAGAGGGGGACCUUCGGGCCUCUUGCCAUCAGAUGUGCCCAGAUGGGAUUAGCUUGUUGGUGAGGUAACGGCUCACCAAGGCGACGAUCCCUAGCUGGUCUGAGAGGAUGACCAGCCACACUGGAACUGAGACACGGUCCAGACUCCUACGGGAGGCAGCAGUGGGGAAUAUUGCACAAUGGGCGCAAGCCUGAUGCAGCCAUGCCGCGUGUAUGAAGAAGGCCUUCGGGUUGUAAAGUACUUUCAGCGGGGAGGAAGGUGUUGUGGUUAAUAACCGCAGCAAUUGACGUUACCCGCAGAAGAAGCACCGGCUAACUCCGUGCCAGCAGCCGCGGUAAUACGGAGGGUGCAAGCGUUAAUCGGAAUUACUGGGCGUAAAGCGCACGCAGGCGGUCUGUCAAGUCGGAUGUGAAAUCCCCGGGCUCAACCUGGGAACUGCAUUCGAAACUGGCAGGCUUGAGUCUUGUAGAGGGGGGUAGAAUUCCAGGUGUAGCGGUGAAAUGCGUAGAGAUCUGGAGGAAUACCGGUGGCGAAGGCGGCCCCCUGGACAAAGACUGACGCUCAGGUGCGAAAGCGUGGGGAGCAAACAGGAUUAGAUACCCUGGUAGUCCACGCCGUAAACGAUGUCUACUUGGAGGUUGUGCCCUUGAGGCGUGGCUUCCGGAGCUAACGCGUUAAGUAGACCGCCUGGGGAGUACGGCCGCAAGGUUAAAACUCAAAUGAAUUGACGGGGGCCCGCACAAGCGGUGGAGCAUGUGGUUUAAUUCGAUGCAACGCGAAGAACCUUACCUGGUCUUGACAUCCACAGAACUUUCCAGAGAUGGAUUGGUGCCUUCGGGAACUGUGAGACAGGUGCUGCAUGGCUGUCGUCAGCUCGUGUUGUGAAAUGUUGGGUUAAGUCCCGCAACGAGCGCAACCCUUAUCCUUUGUUGCCAGCGGUUAGGCCGGGAACUCAAAGGAGACUGCCAGUGAUAAACUGGAGGAAGGUGGGGAUGACGUCAAGUCAUCAUGGCCCUUACGACCAGGGCUACACACGUGCUACAAUGGCGCAUACAAAGAGAAGCGACCUCGCGAGAGCAAGCGGACCUCAUAAAGUGCGUCGUAGUCCGGAUUGGAGUCUGCAACUCGACUCCAUGAAGUCGGAAUCGCUAGUAAUCGUGGAUCAGAAUGCCACGGUGAAUACGUUCCCGGGCCUUGUACACACCGCCCGUCACACCAUGGGAGUGGGUUGCAAAAGAAGUAGGUAGCUUAACCUUCGGGAGGGCGCUUACCACUUUGUGAUUCAUGACUGGGGUGAAGUCGUAACAAGGUAACCGUAGGGGAACCUGCGGUUGGAUCACCUCCUUACCU
This 1452-nucleotide ribosomal RNA is filed under the name Salmonella enterica subsp. enterica serovar Saintpaul. Its description in RNAcentral is "bacterial SSU rRNA". It matches the Rfam family "Bacterial small subunit ribosomal RNA". Lineage: Bacteria; Pseudomonadati; Pseudomonadota; Gammaproteobacteria; Enterobacterales; Enterobacteriaceae. The record is from RNAcentral.